GGGAACCCCGGGCGGCAGGUGCGCCCUUGCCGCCCGGGGCCGGGGGCCGGUCCAGAGGCUGGAGAGACCGGCCAGGUCUGCGGAGAAGCAUCUUCCGGCUGCUUGCACAGGGUUCAGUUGAUGAAGCAGGAGCGGGAGGGAAGCCCGGCGGGGACCGGGCAAGCUCUCGUCGAGCCGGGGCUUCUUCUGGCUCGUGCGCCUCGCCAGGCACGAGCAGGGUUAAGUGUGUGCGGGGGGCGGAGAGGGAAUCCCAGACCGCCGGAACUGGAGACUUCCCAGCCGAGGGCGAGGCUGCUUCGAGAGGCAGCGCCGGCCACCCUGCGGCUUCCGCCGGCACCUGGGCGCGCGGAGUCGGGAGGACACGUCGACAGCCGCCCGCAGGACACGCGGCAGACGCGCCACGGCCGCCGCCAGGGCCGACAAUAAGCUCUGAGCCGGGAACCUGGGACCUGUGCCGUGACAGGGUUGGCUGGCGGCCCAGAGAGAAGAGCCGUGUGGAGCCGAAGAGGCGGGUGGACCGCACGGCCCUGGAGCAGAGAUACCGGCCUGUGACCAGGGACCGCAAGGUAGGGGACGGCUUCCUUUUCUCUUUGGAGUUUGAUUUGCGCCACGUCCUGUCUUGUUUCCCUUGUUCUUUACUGGUUAUGUUGUACGUGGUUAAAGCUGAGCUGCUGUCCAUCGGUACGUCCGUUCUCUGUUCUUGUUGGCAGGUGGUUAGUGUUGAGCGGUGUCCGAACUCCGGUCACGUCUGUGUCCGCGUCGGCGGGUGGUUGUCUGUGUCCACGUGGCAGGUGCUUGGUAUUGAGUUGGUGUGCGUUCUCGGGUCAGGUCUGUGUCCACAUCGGCAGGGGCUUAGAGCUGAGCCAGUGUCUGAGCGCCGGUCAGUGGGGCACAGAUCGUGGUUCUCGGUUCGUGCUGAGCUGAUGUCAGCGCUCGGUUUGGGGUGGUUGUGGAUGAAGAGACAUGAUCCAGGCGUUUGGGUGGCUCUCACAGUGGACCGGGGACAGGACGCUUGUCUUGUCUGA
Molecule: long non-coding RNA, 1025 nt
Filed under: Cervus hanglu yarkandensis (Yarkand deer)
Lineage: Eukaryota; Metazoa; Chordata; Mammalia; Artiodactyla; Cervidae
Description: lncRNA (ENSCHYG00000002927.1)
Source: RNAcentral